Molecule: ribosomal RNA, 604 nt
Filed under: uncultured Actinomycetes bacterium
Lineage: Bacteria; Bacillati; Actinomycetota; Actinomycetes
Description: bacterial SSU rRNA
Rfam family: Bacterial small subunit ribosomal RNA
Source: RNAcentral
GUGAGGUAACGGCUCACCAAGGCGACGACGGGUAGCCGGCCUGAGAGGGUGACCGGCCACACUGGGACUGAGACACGGCCCAGACUCCUACGGGAGGCAGCAGUGGGGAAUAUUGCACAAUGGGCGAAAGCCUGAUGCAGCGACGCCGCGUGAGGGAUGACGGCCUUCGGGUUGUAAACCUCUUUCAGUAGGGAAGAAGCGAAAGUGACGGUACCUGCAGAAGAAGCGCCGGCUAACUACGUGCCAGCAGCCGCGGUAAUACGUAGGGCGCAAGCGUUAUCCGGAUUUAUUGGGCGUAAAGAGCUCGUAGGCGGUUUGUCGCGUCUGCCGUGAAAGUCCGAGGCUCAACCUCGGAUCUGCGGUGGGUACGGGCAGACUAGAGUGAUGUAGGGGAGACUGGAAUUCCUGGUGUAGCGGUGAAAUGCGCAGAUAUCAGGAGGAACACCGAUGGCGAAGGCAGGUCUCUGGGCAUCUACUGACGCUGAGGAGCGAAAGCAUGGGGAGCGAACAGGAUUAGAUACCCUGGUAGUCCAUGCCGUAAACGUUGGGCACUAGGUGUGGGGAACAUUCCACGUUUUCCGCGCCGUAGCUAACGCAUUAAGUG